Molecule: ribosomal RNA, 584 nt
Filed under: Ampheraster marianus
Lineage: Eukaryota; Metazoa; Echinodermata; Asteroidea; Forcipulatida; Pedicellasteridae
Description: partial 16S ribosomal RNA
Rfam family: Bacterial large subunit ribosomal RNA
Source: RNAcentral
CGCUCUUUGUAAAAUUAUUUAUAUAUAAGGAGUUCUGCCUGCCCGGUGACGUUGUUAAACGGCCGCGGUAUUUUGACCGUGCGAAGGUAGCAUAAUCAUUUGCCCUUUAAAUGGGGGCUGGUAUGAAUGGCAAGACGGGGGUUAAGCUGUCUCUUUCUUAUGUCUUGAAUUUUAUAUUUUUGUGAAGAAGCAGAAAUAAAUUCGUAGGACGAGAAGACCCUAUCGAGCUUUAAUAAAAGUAUCAGUAAAAUUUAGUGAAUUUAAUAAUCUAAUAAAGUUGGUAUUACAAUUUUGUAAGUUAUUUGUUAAAAGUUAAGGUUUAGUGUGAUAUUGUAUUUUUGAUUGGGGUAAUCGUGGAGAAAAGAAAAUCUCCAUUAAGGUAAUAAAAAAAAUUAUAAUUUUAUGAAAAAAAAUAGAUGAUCCGUUGAGUGAGCGAGCAAAGGAAUAAGUUACCGUAGGGAUAACAGCGUAAUUUUUUUGGAGAGUUCAUAUUGAUAAAAAAGUUUGCGACCUCGAUGUUGGAUCGGGAUUUCCUGGAGAUGCAGUAGUUUCCAAAGGUUGGUCUGUUCGACCAUUAAAAUCCU